This 253-nucleotide ribosomal RNA is filed under the name uncultured bacterium. RNAcentral describes it as "partial 16S ribosomal RNA". It matches the Rfam family "Bacterial small subunit ribosomal RNA", at positions 524 to 776 of the family's 1533-position model. The record is from RNAcentral.
UACGUAGGUGGCAAGCGUUGUCCGGAUUUAUUGGGCGUAAAGCGAGCGCAGGCGGUUGCUUAAGUCUGAUGUGAAAGCCCCCGGCUCAACCGGGGAAGGGCAUUGGAAACUGGGGGACUUGAGUGCAGAAGAGGAGAGUGGAAUUCCAUGUGUAGCGGUGAAAUGCGUAGAUAUAUGGAGGAACACCAGUGGCGAAGGCGACUCCCUGGUCGGUAACUGACGCUGAGGCGCGAAAGCGUGGGGAGCAAACAGG